Nomascus leucogenys (northern white-cheeked gibbon) is the source of this 274-nucleotide long non-coding RNA. RefSeq lists it as uncharacterized. The transcript is spliced from 2 exons. NCBI's taxonomy places the organism in Eukaryota, Metazoa, Chordata, Mammalia, Primates, Hylobatidae. The record is from RefSeq and is a predicted model, not a curated record.
AGUGUGUGUUGUCAAAAUGCAACUUUUGAAUUGUUCUAAAGCCACAGUAAGAGAAUUACAUUUAUGGACAAUCUUCAAUUAUGUUCAGUGGCAAGGAGCAGAGAACCCACAGGCAAUUGAAAUCUCUACUAAUAAUUCUGGCUAACAAGGCAUUGUGCUUACGGUUUCCAGAGUGCUCUUCACAUACAUUAUCUGCAGCUACAGAUAAUUUGAAAUUCUCAAUCUGCCUGAGUUGCAAUUCCCUCUCCAUUAAACCUUUUGUCAGAGCUAUCAA